GUACGGAGCCGAAGGGAAACCGAGUCUUAAUAGGGCGAAGAGUUGCAUGCUGUAGACCCGAAACCGAGUGACCUAUCCAUGGACAGGGUGAAGCGGAAGUAAAAUUCCUUGGAGGCCCGAACCACAUUGGUGUUGAAAAACCAUGGGAUGAGCUGUGGAUAGCGGAGAAAUUCCAAUCGAACUCGGAGAUAGCUGGUUCUCCUCGAAAUAGCUUUAGGGCUAGCGUCUGGUAAUUGAGUUAUGGAGGUAGAGCACUGAAUAGGCUAGGGGCGUUACAACGUUACUGAACCUUAUCAAACUCCGAAUGCCAUAUACUUUUAUCCAGGCAGUCAGACUGCGAGUGAUAAGAUCCGUAGUCAAAAGGGAAACAGCCCAGAUCAUCAGCUAAGGUCCCAAAGUAUAGGUUAAGUGGAAAAGGAUGUGGGAUUUCAUAGACAACUAGGAUGUUGGCUUAGAAGCAGCCACUCAUUCAAAGAGUGCGUAAUAGCUCACUAGUCGAGAGAUCCUGCGCCGAAGAUGUCCGGGGCUAAAACCUAUCACCGAAGCUAUGGACUUAGUCGAAUGACUAAGUGGUAGAGGAGCAUCCUGUAUUGGUAGAAGUCAUACCGUAAGGAGUGGUGGACGAUACAGGAGAGAGAAUGUUGGCAUAAGUAGCGAGAAAUAAGUGAGAAUCUUAUUGGUCGAAAACCUAAGGUUUCCUGAGGAAGGCUCGUCCGCUCAGGGUUAGUCGGGACCUAAGCCGAGGCCGAAAGGCGUAGGCGAUGGACAAUUGGUUGAUAUUCCAAUACCACUAAUGGACGUUAUUAGAGAUGGGGUGACGCAGGAGGAUAGGAUGAGCGUACUGUUGGAAUAGUACGUCUAAGCAUCAAGUCAGACUCUUUAGGCAAAUCCGGAGAGUUAAUGGUGAGGUGUAAAAGAUAACCCUUUAAUGGGUGAAGCAUCCGAUUUCACGCUGCCAAGAAAAGCCUCUAUCGAGGAAAUUAGUGCCCGUACCGCAAACCGACACAGGUAGGUGAGGAGAGAAUCCUAAGACCAGCGGAAGAACUGCUGUUAAGGAACUCGGCAAAUUAACCCCGUAACUUCGGGAGAAGGGGUGCCUGAGCAAUCAGGUCGCAGUGAAAUGGCCCAAGCAACUGUUUAACAAAAACACAGGUCUCUGCUAAAGCGUAAGCUGAUGUAUAGGGGCUGACGCCUGCCCGGUGCUGGAAGGUUAAGGGGAUCACUUAGCGCAAGCGAAGGUGUGAACUUAAGCCCCAGUAAACGGCGGCCGUAACUAUAACGGUCCUAAGGUAGCGAAAUUCCUUGUCGGGUAAGUUCCGACCCGC
This 1325-nucleotide ribosomal RNA is filed under the name freshwater metagenome. Its description in RNAcentral is "bacterial LSU rRNA". It matches the Rfam family "Bacterial large subunit ribosomal RNA", at positions 658 to 1991 of the family's 2925-position model. The record is from RNAcentral.